GACGAACGCUGGCGGCGUGCUUAACACAUGCAAGUCGAACGAAGUGGCGAACGGGUGAGUAAUACGUGGGUAACCUGCCCUCCUUUUUGGGAUAAGCCUUGGAAACGGGGUCUAAUACCGAAUAAAGGGGGAUGGGCUCGCGGCCUAUCAGCUUGUUGGUGGGGUGAUGGCCUACCAAGGCGGUGACGGGUAGCCGGCCUGAGCGGGCGACCGGGAACAGUGACACGGGGAUACGGCCCAGGGUAGGAAGGGAGGGGGAAGUGGGGAAUAUUGCAGAAUGGGUGAAAGACUGAUGCAGCGACGCUGCGUGGGGGAUGAGGGCUUUCGGGUUGUAACCGUGGGGAGGUAGCGAACGGGUAGGUGGAGAAGAAGCGCCGGCUAACUACGUGCCAGCAGCCGCGGUAAUAC
This 408-nucleotide ribosomal RNA is filed under the name uncultured bacterium. RNAcentral's name for it is "partial 16S ribosomal RNA". It matches the Rfam family "Bacterial small subunit ribosomal RNA", at positions 28 to 526 of the family's 1533-position model. The record is from RNAcentral.